Paramormyrops kingsleyae is the source of this 1317-nucleotide long non-coding RNA. RefSeq lists it as uncharacterized. NCBI's taxonomy places the organism in Eukaryota, Metazoa, Chordata, Actinopteri, Osteoglossiformes, Mormyridae. The record is from RefSeq and is a predicted model, not a curated record.
GCAGAAGGGACACCCUCCUGUUCGCAGGACGAGCAGCACCAGGUUGGGGAAGAACAGGGGAAUAUUUUCUGCAGUCUUUAUAAACAGGGAUGGGAUGGCGUCACACGGCCUCCUGGGAAGCUCGAGCUGCCAGUGGAUCGUCCACCUUUCCCUGCCUGCACCAGGCCACGCCCCCGUGGCAGAAACCCCCCCAUAUUGUGACAAGCGGAUUAAACUACAGAGAUCGUGCAUCAUGAAAAAUGGGAAUGUUCCCUCAUUAAUUCAGAAAAACUGAAAAAAUAUCACUCAUAAAAACAGGAUGAUUAUCUUGUUAUUUCAGAAAAACAGAAAAUAUUACUUGUAAAAACAGGAUGAUUGUGUCAUUAAUUCAGAAAAACAGAACCAAUUUUUUUUCCUAGAUGAAUGCAAUAUGCUUUCGUAGUACAGAGUUUCAGCUGCCGUUUUUCAUAGAUUUCAGGCCAGCUCAGUUUCCUGGUGAAUAUGUCAAACUAAAGCCACAGUGUUAACAAUGAUUUUAUUUCCAAUUUACACCAGUAUAAAUGCAGGUAUAUUGGAAUGUUUCUUUUCAUGUAUCCCAUCGUGAAAUAUACACACACACACACACACACACAAUGUUUUCCAAUCCAGUCCUCGGCGACCCAAAGAUAAUCCAUGUUUUUGCUCCUUCCCAGCUCCCUGUAGGCAGCAAAAAUGUAGACUGUCUGGCAGGGAGGAGGAGGAGGAGGGAGCAAAAACAUGGACCAUCUGUGGGUCCCUGAGGACCGGAUUGGGAAACACCGAUGUAGGCAGUUGAGAGUGAAGCCUGGGGUCUGGUCACAGGCUCAGCCAUUUAUCCAGCAACCUGUAGCAUUUCAGGGGUUAAGGGCCUCUCUCAGGGGCCCGAUGGACAUGUGACUAUUCUGCUCACAACGGUAUUUGAACCAACCUUCCAAUCGCAAUGGAGGCUUACCCCGCUGAGCACACAAAACUCCCCUGAAAACAUAUUUGUUUCUACCCGCUUUUGAACUGGAGACCAGUGAUUACAUGAUAACCACCACACUACAGAAACCAGCCAUUGCGUUAUAAUACUCUCUAAAGGAUCCAGAUAUGUUUUACACGCAGUUGUUUGUUCCUACCAUCACCUCAUCAUCCAUUACCCCCAAUCUAAGCCUGGGAUUUGGCUUUAAAAAAUCUGUACAUACAAAUUGUGCAAAGUAUCUAUAUGAUUACUGCAGUUCUUAUGAUGCAGUAUGAAAUUAACCACAGGGUCCAUGUGACAGACUUGGGCCAAUGAGAAACAGGUCAGUUUGCAAUGAAAACAAUAAAUGGAUAUUUUGA